Non-coding RNA from Schistosoma mattheei, 46 nucleotides. Lineage: Eukaryota; Metazoa; Platyhelminthes; Trematoda; Strigeidida; Schistosomatidae. The record is from Rfam.
GCACUGCUGAGGAGUCCCUUACCAGGACGAAACGGCCGUCAAGUGC